RNAcentral lists this ribosomal RNA (497 nucleotides) under uncultured bacterium. RNAcentral's name for it is "partial 16S ribosomal RNA". It matches the Rfam family "Bacterial small subunit ribosomal RNA", at positions 28 to 507 of the family's 1533-position model. The record is from RNAcentral.
GACGAACGCUGGCGGCGUGCCUAAUACAUGCAAGUAGAACGCUGAAGCUUGGUGCUUGCACCGAGCGGAUGAGUUGCGAACGGGUGAGUAACGCGUAGGUAACCUGCCUGGUAGCGGGGGAUAACUAUUGGAAACGAUAGCUAAUACCGCAUAAGAGUAGAUGUUGCAUGACAUUUGCUUAAAAGGUGCAAUUGCAUCACUACCAGAUGGACCUGCGUUGUAUUAGCUAGUUGGGUAGGUAACGGCUCACCCAGGCAACGAUACCUAACCCAACUGGGAGGGUGGUCCGCCCACACGGGACCGGGACACGGCCCAAGACUCUACCGGGGGGCGCAGGAAGGGAACCUUGGGAAUGGACCGAAGGCCGACCGAGGAACGCCGGGGGGAUGAAGAAGGGUUUCCGAUCGGAAAGCUCCUUUGAUAGGGAAGAACGAGUGUGAGAGGGGAAAGUUCACACUGUGACGGUAUCUUACCAGAAAGGCACGGCUAACUACGUG